AUGGCGAUCCUUAUGGCCAUAGAGCAAUGGCGCCCCUACCUGCAGAAUGAAGAGUUCAUAAUCCGGACAGAUCAGCGAAGUCUAGUCCAUCUCGAUGACCAACACCUCUCCACCCCGUGGCAGCAGAAGGCAUUCACUAAGCUUCUUGGUCUGCGCUACAAAAUUUGCUAUCGCCCAGGUGCUACGAACUCAGCUGCAGACGCGCUGUCGUGA
This 213-nucleotide ribosomal RNA is filed under the name Triticum aestivum (bread wheat). Its description in RNAcentral is "partial small subunit ribosomal RNA". The record is from RNAcentral. Lineage: Eukaryota; Viridiplantae; Streptophyta; Magnoliopsida; Poales; Poaceae.